AAGAAGAUUGUAAUGAAACUAACGAAAGAUGUUUAUUCGUAGAUUGUCAUUGUCACUAGAAAACUGUCUCUCGAGGCCCUAGCCCGCGAAGAUUUUUUUCAAAACCUUCGUGGGCUAAGGUCUAGGGAGAUAUUCGCAUCGGUGAAGAAGAUUGUAAUACAAAUUAUGAAAUAUGUUUAUUCGUAGAUUGUCAUUGUCACUAGAAAACUGUCUGUCGAGGCCGUAGCCCGCGAAGAUUUUUUUCAAAACCUUCGUGGGCUAAGGUCUAGGGAGAUAUUCGCAUCGGUGAAGAAGAUUGUAAUGAAACUAAUGAAAGAUGUUUAUUCGUAGAUUGUCAUUGUCACUAGAAAACUGUCUCUCGAGGCCCUAACCCGCGAAGUUUAUUUUCAAAACCUUUGUGGGCUAAGGUCUAGGGAGAUAUUGGCAUCGGUGAAGAAGAUUGUAAUGAAACUAACGAAAGAUGUUUAUUCGUAGAUUGUCAUUGUCAUUAGAAAACUGUCUCUUUAGGCCCUAGCCCGCGAAGAUUUUUUUCAAAACCUUCGUGGGCUAAGGUCUAGGGAGAUAUUGGCAUCGGUGAAGAAGAUUGUAAUGAAACUAACGAAAGAUGUUUAUUCGUAGAUUGUCAUUGUCACUAG
This is a long non-coding RNA of Spodoptera frugiperda (fall armyworm), 635 nucleotides long. RefSeq lists it as uncharacterized. The record is from RefSeq and is a predicted model, not a curated record. NCBI's taxonomy places the organism in Eukaryota, Metazoa, Arthropoda, Insecta, Lepidoptera, Noctuidae. The transcript has 3 exons.